UACGUAGGGUGCGAGCGUUAAUCGGAAUUACUGGGCGUAAAGCGUGCGCAGGCGGUUCUCCAAGUCCGUUGUGAAAGCCCCGGGCUCAACCUGGGAAUGGCAGUGGAAACUAGGGGACUGGAAUCUGGCAGAGGGGGGGUGGAAUGCCGCGUGUAGCAGUGAAAUGCGUAGAGAUGCGGCGGAACACCGAUGGCGAAGGCAGCCCCCCUGGGUUAACACUGACGCUCAGGCACGAAAGCGUGGGGAGCAAACAGG
Molecule: ribosomal RNA, 255 nt
Filed under: uncultured bacterium
Lineage: Bacteria
Description: partial 16S ribosomal RNA
Rfam family: Bacterial small subunit ribosomal RNA
Source: RNAcentral